GCGGCAUUGUAGUGCAAGUAGUGCCAGAGUGGCUUGCGUCGACAUCGUCAACGAAACAGAUGUUAAGAACCACGACCCUGUACACGACCAUCCAGAUCGGCGCAACUAACGUCUGGCACGGCACCACUGAAAACGGUGGUGGCUUUUGAUCAGCAAAGUGAAUUGGAAAUGACCAGACCAAAUAUGUCACAGAACGGAUAACCGAUGAAGCAGAUUAGUUCUUGAAAGAGGGGCGUUGUACCGGCAAGCUCUACGUGAGGCGCCAAUUGAGGGUUCAAUUGAUAAUCUAAGAUGGCAGUUUCGAGUACUAUGCAAGAAUAUUAUUUCGGAUAGUAGAGACACACGAAACCCGGUAUAAUAAGCAGGGAGUAUAGCAACUUUUCACGUAAAUGACGAUCAUCAUUAUUCUAUUUUGGCUUCGGGCGAUUUUUACCAACAUUACCAUUUGCCAUUACAAUAUUAUUUAGUAAUGGAAUGAGUGCAAUUGAGCCACAAUUUAAAUUGUAUAUUUUGAGAACACGUUUAAAUAUUAUUAUUUUUUACUAAAUAAAUUUCCAGCCAUUAUAGAACUCGUUAUCAUUCUUGCUAACAGACUGGAACUAAUUAUGCUUCAUGAAGUGAACACCGAUAGUGACAGUACUGCAGGCACAGUCACAGCUUACAAAUUAGUGAAUGUAUAUAGUAACUACAUUGUUGUAACUAUACUCAGACCUUAGAACUUAUAUAUCAAGGUAGGUGGCGGCAUUUACGUUGUAGAUGUCUAUAGGCUCUGGUAACCGCUUAACACCAGGUGGAACGUGAGCUCGUCCGCCCACCUAAGCAAUAAAUAAAUAAGAAAAAGAAUCCCUUUGUUAACGCGCUUUUAUUGUCUUCGUGUGUAAGUAUCUAUGUAAUGGAGUAUUUGAACGUGAUUUUCACCCACUUACGGUUUGUCUCUGCUCCUGGCAUUGCUGGGCGACGGUAACCACUAAACAUCAGCCGUAUGCUCCUCUGCCUAUAAGGGCAAUUAAAAAAAAACUUCGAAAUGUCAGAUUGAAUUGAAACCUCGCACACUUAAAGAACGAUAAGAAUACAAUUUUAUAUAAUUGUCUGAUUAUCCUCAGGAUUUUCAGGAUCAAUGACGUGACGGGCAUUUAAAACAGUUUGCUGCCUUCCUUGGAUAUGUCGUCUUUUCUAAAGCUCCUUCUCCAGAAUCGAAUAUAACGCCGGUAGUCACGGAAGCUGUCAUUUGAUAGAAGAACUUGAUUGCUCAGAGUUGACAGGAAGAGUCCCAUGCAAUGGUGUUGAUGUAUUAGAUGAAAUGAUUAGAUUACGAAAUAAAUUAUAGCACAAUCUUUAAUUACUUACUUGGUUUCACAUCUGUACUAAAUAUAAUAAAAACCAUAUUCCUCAUUACUAUGAAAUUAUCAUCUGUAAAGACUACAAAAAAGCAAAAAUAAAUGCCUCUUUAAAUAACUAAAAAAGACUUUUGUAGCUGAAGAAAAAUGUAGAAAAUAAUUUUCUAUGAGUAAAAAAGGGAAGUGACAAAACAAUAAUUUUAUUGUGAAAUAGCAUGGAGUGAUUUUAAGAUAUUUUGAUAAUUUUGUAAUUAUGACUUUACUUUCACCAAUAUCUGUUAAUUAAAUCUUUACAGAAAUUGAUUUCUGGCAUCCCACACAUUUUUUUUCUUUCUUAAUCACUAUUUUUUUAGCUUAUUAUCUUAGCUAUUUUUUUAGUUAAACUACCUAUUAUUUAUUUUAAAUAAAAAAAAGAUAGGGAUUCAA
Bombyx mori (domestic silkworm) is the source of this 1763-nucleotide long non-coding RNA. RefSeq lists it as uncharacterized. The record is from RefSeq and is a predicted model, not a curated record. NCBI's taxonomy places the organism in Eukaryota, Metazoa, Arthropoda, Insecta, Lepidoptera, Bombycidae. The transcript is spliced from 2 exons.